Molecule: ribosomal RNA, 914 nt
Filed under: Lacrymaria rugocephala
Lineage: Eukaryota; Fungi; Basidiomycota; Agaricomycetes; Agaricales; Psathyrellaceae
Description: eukaryotic LSU rRNA
Rfam family: Eukaryotic large subunit ribosomal RNA
Source: RNAcentral
GGAGGAAAGAACUAACAAGGAUUCCCCUAGUAACUGCGAGUGAAGCGGGAAAAGCUCAAAUUUAAAAUCUGGCGGUCUUCGGCCGUCCGAGUUGUAAUCUAGAGAAGUGUUAUCCGCGCUGGCCCGUGUACAAGUCUCCUGGAAUGGAGCGUCAUAGAGGGUGAGAAUCCCGUCUUUGACACGGACUACCAGGGCUUUGUGAUGCGCUCUCAAAGAGUCGAGUUGUUUGGGAAUGCAGCUCAAAAUGGGUGGUAAAUUCCAUCUAAAGCUAAAUAUUGGCGAGAGACCGAUAGCGAACAAGUACCGUGAGGGAAAGAUGAAAAGAACUUUGGAAAGAGAGUUAAACAGUACGUGAAAUUGCUGAAAGGGAAACGCUUGAAGUCAGUCGCGUUGGCCGGGGAUCAACCUUGCUUUUGCUGGGCGUACUUUCCGGUUGACGGGUCAGCAUCAAUUUUGACCAUUGGAUAAAGUCCAGCGGAAUGUGGCAUCUUCGGAUGUNUUAUAGCCCUUGGUCGCAUACAAUGGUUGGAAUUGAGGAACUCAGCACGCCGCAAGGCCGGGUACUUGUACCACGUUCGUGCUUAGGAUGCUGGCAUAAUGGCUUUAAUCGACCCGUCUUGAAACACGGACCAAGGAGUCUAACAUGCCUGCGAGUGUUUGGGUGACAAACUCGGACGCGCAAUGAAAGUGAAAGUUGAGAUCCCUGUCGUGGGGAGCAUCGACNCCCGGACCUGACCUUUUGUGACGGAUCCGCGGUAGAGCAUGUAUGUUGGGACCCGAAAGAUGGUGAACUAUGCCUGAAUAGGGUGAAGCCAGAGGAAACUCUGGUGGAGGCUCGUAGCGAUUCUGACGUGCAAAUCGAUCGUCAAAUUUGGGUAUAGGGGCGAAAGACUAAUCGAACCAUCUAGUANCNG